This 72-nucleotide transfer RNA is filed under the name Elusimicrobiota bacterium. RNAcentral describes it as "Elusimicrobia bacterium (activated sludge metagenome) tRNA-Lys". It matches the Rfam family "tRNA". From Rfam's summary of the family: Transfer RNA (tRNA) molecules are approximately 80 nucleotides in length. Their secondary structure includes four short double-helical elements and three loops (D, anti-codon, and T loops). Further hydrogen bonds mediate the characteristic L-shaped molecular structure. tRNAs have two regions of fundamental functional importance: the anti-codon, which is responsible for specific mRNA codon recognition, and the 3' end, to which the tRNAs corresponding amino acid is attached (by aminoacyl-tRNA synthetases). tRNAs cope with the degeneracy of the genetic code in two manners: having more than one tRNA (with a specific anti-codon) for a particular amino acid; and 'wobble' base-pairing, i.e. permitting non-standard base-pairing at the 3rd anti-codon position. The record is from RNAcentral. Lineage: Bacteria; Pseudomonadati; Elusimicrobiota.
GGGCCAUUAGCUCAACAGUAGAGCAAGCGCCUCUUAAGCGCGAGGCUGAGGGUGCAAGUCCCCCAUGGCCCA